GGGAACAACAGUUAGAAAUGACUGCUAAUACCGCAUAUGCCUAAGUACCACAUGGUACAAUAGGGAAAGGAGCAAUCCGCUGAUAGAUGGGCUUGCGUCUGAUUAGAUAGUUGGUGGGGUAACGGCCUACCAAGUCGACGAUCAGUAGCCGGACUGAGAGGUUGAACGGCCACAUUGGGACUGAGAUACGGCCCAGACUCCUACGGGAGGCAGCAGUCGGGAAUAUUGCGCAAUGGAGGAAACUCUGACGCAGUGACGCCGCGUGCAGGAAGAAGGUUUUCGGAUUGUAAACUGCUUUAGACAGGGAAGAAAAAAGACAGUACCUGUAGAAUAAGCUCCGGCUAACUACGUGCCAGCAGCCGCGGUAAUACGUAGGGAGCAAGCGUUAUCCGGAUUUAUUGGGUGUAAAGGGUGCGUAGACGGAGAAGCAAGUUAGUUGUGAAAUCCCUCGGCUUAACUGAGGAACUGCAACUAAAACUACUUCCCUUGAGUGUUGGAGAGGAAAGUGGAAUUCCUAGUGUAGCGGUGAAAUGCGUAGAUAUUAGGAGGAACACCAGUGGCGAAGGCGACUUUCUGGACAAUAACUGACGUUGAGGCACGAAAGUGUGGGGAGCAAACAGGAUUAGAUACCCUGGUAGUCCACACCGUAAACGAUGGA
Molecule: ribosomal RNA, 658 nt
Filed under: uncultured bacterium
Lineage: Bacteria
Description: bacterial SSU rRNA
Rfam family: Bacterial small subunit ribosomal RNA
Source: RNAcentral